UACAGAGGUCCCGAGCGUUGUUCGGAUUCAUUGGGCGUAAAGGGUGCGUAGGUGGCGCUGUAAGUCGGGUGUGAAAUUUCGGAGCUUAACUCCGAAACUGCAUUCGAUACUGCGGUGCUUGAGGACUGGAGAGGAGACUGGAAUUCAUGGUGUAGCAGUGAAAUGCGUAGAGAUCAUGAGGAAGGCCAGUGGCGAAGGCGGGUCUCUGGACAGUUCCUGACGCUGAGGCACGAAGGCCAGGGGAGCAAACGGG
Molecule: ribosomal RNA, 253 nt
Filed under: uncultured bacterium
Lineage: Bacteria
Description: partial 16S ribosomal RNA
Rfam family: Bacterial small subunit ribosomal RNA
Source: RNAcentral